Molecule: unclassified non-coding RNA, 462 nt
Filed under: Hevea brasiliensis (rubber tree)
Lineage: Eukaryota; Viridiplantae; Streptophyta; Magnoliopsida; Malpighiales; Euphorbiaceae
Source: RNAcentral
GUGUGUACUGAAAGGUCUCCUAAUUUUAAGAUUUCAAAUUUAAUAAAUUAAUUCAAUCCAAAAUUGACUACUAUAGCCUUGUUUUAAAUGGAAAAACCUAUACUAAAUAGUAAAAAGUACAUUUUCUCCCUACCUUUUAAGAGGCACAGGCUUGCACCUCUCACCUCAUGAGAGGUGCUCGCCUAAACACAACAAGUGAGCGCCCCGCCAAACACAUGCUACCUGAUUUGUCUAGGCACAGAGGUGUUUUCUCCCAACGCCUAGGCAAGCCCAUUUGACUACAUAAAUAAAAUUAAUAUGUUUAAAUGUUCUAAUAUUUUGGAAGCUCAUAAACAGAAAAUUUCUAGUUAGGAACGCUUAGUUUUAAAGCAUUUACAUAAACACUAGAAGGAGGAGAAAGGGCAGUCUUGCAUAAAUAUUCCUUAAAGAAACUAAUAGAAAAUCAACUCUUUAAUGUGCCAG